Molecule: ribosomal RNA, 559 nt
Filed under: uncultured bacterium
Lineage: Bacteria
Description: partial 16S ribosomal RNA
Rfam family: Bacterial small subunit ribosomal RNA
Source: RNAcentral
UGGGGAAUUUUGGACAAUGGGCGAAAGCCUGAUCCAGCAAUGCCGCGUGUGUGAAGAAGGCCUUCGGGUUGUAAAGCACUUUUGUCCGGAAAGAAAUCCUUGGCUCUAAUACAGUCGGGGGAUGACGGUACCGGAAGAAUAAGCACCGGCUAACUACGUGCCAGCAGCCGCGGUAAUACGUAGGGUGCAAGCGUUAAUCGGAAUUACUGGGCGUAAAGCGUGCGCAGGCGGUUUGCUAAGACCGAUGUGAAAUCCCCGGGCUCAACCUGGGAACUGCAUUGGUGACUGGCAGGCUAGAGUAUGGCAGAGGGGGGUAGAAUUCCACGUGUAGCAGUGAAAUGCGUAGAGAUGUGGAGGAAUACCGAUGGCGAAGGCAGCCCCCUGGGCCAAAUACUGACGCUCAUGCACGAAAGCGUGGGGAGCAAACAGGAUUAGAUACCCUGGUAGUCCACGCCCUAAAACGAUGUCAACUAGUUGUUGGGGAUUCAUUUCCUUAGUAACGUAGCUAACGCGUGAAGUUGACCGCCUGGGGAGUACGGUCGCAAGAUUAAAACUUAAA